This 100-nucleotide small RNA is filed under the name Epilithonimonas hominis. Its description in RNAcentral is "Chryseobacterium hominis Flavo-1 RNA". It matches the Rfam family "Flavo-1 RNA". Lineage: Bacteria; Pseudomonadati; Bacteroidota; Flavobacteriia; Flavobacteriales; Weeksellaceae. The record is from RNAcentral.
CUUUAUCCCGCAAUAGGGAUAGCAACGGUUAUCCUUUUGCUUACAGCGAAGGACAAAAGCCUGGGCAAGCAAAAGAUAUGAGUGGAUAGCCCGACCCGAG